CCUACGGGAGGCAGCAGUGGGGAAUAUUGCACAAUGGGGGAAACCCUGAUGCAGCGACGCCGCGUGAGUGAAGAAUUAUUUCGGUAUGUAAAGCUCUGUCAGCAGGGAAGAAACUGACGGUACCUGACCAAUCAGCCCCGGCUCACUACGUGCCAGCAGCCGCGGUAAUACGUAGGGGGCAAGCGUUAUCCGGAUUCACUGGGUGUAAAGGGAGCGUAGGCGGCAAUGCAAGCCAGGGGUGAAGGCCCGGGGCCCAACCGCGGGACUGCCCGUGGAACUGGAGGGCUGGAGUGCGGAAGGGGCAGGCGGAAUUCCUGGUGGAGCGGUGAAAUGCGUAGAUAUCAGGAGGAACACCGGCGGCGAAGGCGGCCUGCUGGACCGCGACUGACGUUGAGGCUCGAAAGCGUGGGGAGCGAACAGGAUUAGAUACCCCAGUAGUC
This 440-nucleotide ribosomal RNA is filed under the name uncultured bacterium. RNAcentral describes it as "partial 16S ribosomal RNA". It matches the Rfam family "Bacterial small subunit ribosomal RNA", at positions 338 to 795 of the family's 1533-position model. The record is from RNAcentral.